UGGGUGCUUUGAUCCUGAAGUAGCCGUUCUUGUCCGUUUUGCCAACCACAUUGAGUGGAUACUUGGUGUUGUUGCACUGCAAUUUCACAGUCGCCCCUGCCCCCUCCCCCCAAAAACAUAUCAAAACAAUGUCUUUGUCAGUAUUCAUUUGGUGGUCAUUUUUUCUUUUUCUUUUUUUACUCAAAAUACUCUUGUGGUUUGAGAAUGAGUAAAGCAAGAUUUGUUUUUGAGAUUGAUUAAACCCAUGGACAAUAUUAAAAGAAUAAAAAAAAUAUUUAAAUACUAGGGACUUCAAAGAGAGAGCUUGAAAAAGGAAAAAGUAGCUAGCUAUGCUGCCAUAACCAUGCCUCCUACUGAAUGUGACAUAAACCUAGAACAAAGAGAAAGAAAGAGAUCAAGAGCACCUCUCUCUCUUUCUCUCUCUCUCUCUCUCCAUUCAAAAUCUGGGAAUGUAUACAUACUGCAUCCAUGAAAACAAAUGCACAUUCGCAUCCAUACGUAUGUUAUGUAUGCAUGAUGUAUAACUAAACAUAUAUGUGAAAUUAAUUGAAGUAAUAAUGAUGGAAAAAAUCAAGUAUGUAAAUGUUAGAAGCAGGGAAAGUUAAAUUGAAAGAGUUCGAAACUGACCGAGAACAGCGGUAGCUCCUAGGAGGGUAUCAGCUCCGGCGUACUUGCAAGACUUGCAAUAAACGACGCCUUGAACUUCAACAAGGCUCCUAGGGAAACGAUGGGUGGGUGUGGGUGGGUGAGCAGGAGCAACGUGCGGUGGAGGUGGGUGAGCAGGAGCAACGUGUGGUGGAGGUGGGUGAGCAGGAGCAACGUGUGGUGGAGGUGGGUGGGCAGGAGCAACGUGUGAAGGUGGGUGAGCAGGUGCAUGAGCGGGAGUGUGAGCCGGUGCAUGAGCCGGCGGGUGGGGGUGGUGGUGAUGAUGGUGGUGGCUUGGGGCGUGAGCCGGUGGGGCAGUAGGAGGGUGGCUGUGGUGGUGGUGGUGGUGGUGAUGGUGGGGGCUUGGUGCCGUUGCCGGGGUUACCGAGUGGUAGUGUGAUGGUGGCAUAGCCAUGGAACUCUCAGUGUAAACCUGUUCACCAUACACAGUGAAGCUGCAGCCGGCUAAGACCAAACAAACAUGAACAACAAUCAGUAAAGCUUUACCCAUUUUGUUUUGUUUUUUUUUUUCAGUCUUCUUUUAUCUCUAGUAAAGAAGAUGGCCAGCCAACUAGGGGGAGGGUGAGAGAGUGAGAGAGAUCGAGAGAGGUGGUGAAAACGAUCUCCGAUUGGGGGAAUUUAUAGGGGUUUUAACCCGUGAUUCUCUGCGGUUUUUUGUGAUAAAAUUUUUAUUUUAUAAUAUGGUGGUGGGGCUAUUAUUAUGCAUUAUGCUGUGAGGUGGACACAAACAUAAUGCAAAAGAAGAGAGAUAAUGAGAUAAUGCAAGAUUGAUUCGUUAAUUUGUUUUAGCGUUUGGUUGAGGCCCAAAUAAAAUUUGUUGAAUUUUUUUUUUAAUUUUAAAUCUAAUAUUAAAGUCUAAUGAUAUUCAUAAUACUGAUAUUCAAUGUCAAAUGUGUAGACAACUUCUAACAUCUCAAAUUGACUCCCAUAAUGUGUGUGUAUAUUAUUCAAGGAGACUUAAAAGGUCAUUCCACAUGUGUUGUGUGUAGAAAAAGAGUGACUAAUGAGUAGGGAUGGUAAAUUAAUCCGGACCAGGAUUGGACCCGGAUAAUCCGGUCCGGGUUUAACCCGUACCGGAAGGUAAUACAAUGCGGAUCCGAAAAGGAUAUUUUGAACCCGGAUAUAUUCCGGUCCGGAUCCGGUUUAUCUUAACCCGGAUGUCCGAAACCCGGACCCGAAUAAUUUAAUUAUAAAAGAAAAAAAAAAACCUAAUGCCUUAAGUCUUAACCUACUGCAGCCGCUUCUUUCUUCUCCAAUUUCUCUUUCUUUCUCCUCCAUCUUCUCUUUUCAUUAAAACAAACCCACUGCAGCUGCUUUCUUUCUUCUCCAAUUUCUCUUUCAUUCACUCAAAUGACUUGGAAAAAUCUUUGUAUUGAAAGGAAGACAAAGAGGAAUGCACCCAUUAAGGCUUAUACUCAUUUUUUGUCACUCUUGCUGGUUUUUGACAGCUACUUUCCGCCACUCUUGCUGAUUUUUUGUCACCAGAAAUUGCCGAAUCUCCACAGCAACUUUUUGACGAUGCUCUCCUCGACGCCGACGACAACACCAAUGCCACCAAAAAUCUGAAAACUCAGCAAUCCUCCCUCAACAUUCAUUUAGCUAUGGUUUCAGGAUUUUGGUGAUUUGAGAUUUGGAGAUUUGAGGAAGUAACAUCAAGAGAAAAAAAAAAAUUGUAAUAGAUAUGCGGGUUUAGAACCUGCAAUCCAAAAAUUUGACUUUUUCUGGGUUCAAUCCGAUUCGGACCUACAAUAAAAAUAUCCAGAUUAUAUCCAGAUCCGGUAUAACAAAAUUAUCAUUCGGAUUCAGAAUCGAAAAGACUGGACUCGAACCCGGAUCCAGAUUUUGCCAUCCCUAAUAAUGAGUGGGUUCCAUACGUUAUUUUACUUACUAGGGAAAAAUUAUACCGGUGGAGGAUUUUAAAAGGAUAAUUAGGAAUACAAGGUGAUUAAAUCCCAAGAGAUCGUUGUAAACAAGUGGCUCAGAGAUUCACAUGCAGAGGUGAGACCGUGCGAGUGGGCUCCGGAAUUUUGGCACAUGUAGCGAGGCAAUGUAGAAGUUUCCGAUGUUUCUUUGGUUACUGAACCUCUCGUCUUUAUUUUUUUAAAAUUAAAUUAAAUAGUACGUUGAUUCUUUGGUUUGGGAAAUUAAUGAUAUUUACUAAAACUCUUGGUAAAUGGUAAAUAAGAUGAAUGAUUGGUAUGGGCCCAACCAAAAAGUAAUGGCAAGUGAUAAAAUUUCGAGCUCUUUGUGGAUAAAGAAAGAAUAUUGUACGUUACAAUAAUUUUUGACGUUGAAGUUCCUGUGUUUCACAAGAAAAGUGAAAAUAAAAUAAAGCAACCUUAAUUUCCUCCGUUAUUAAAAAUAUUAUAAUAUUUUAAAAAUAUAUUAAUUAUUUAUUUUAAAUUAAUAAAAUAUAUUUAUUAUCUAUUAAAUUAUUAAUUAACGUUGAAAGAUAAUGACAUUAGAAGGGUAAUUUAAUAUUUUCACACGAUAUAAAAAAUAAUAAAAGAAUUUAAGAAUAUAAAAAUGAUAAUUUAAAAGUACGUAAGUGAUAAUAAGAUAAUUUAAGAGUAUAUAAAUAAUAAUUUUUUUAUUUUAAUUUAAAUUUCAAAAAUAAAAUAUCAAUUCGCUGUAUUAACUUUCAGAUGGUAACUAAUGAUUUAGUUAUUAGUAUAUAUAUUUUGUCAACUUAAAAUGAACGAUUAAUAUUAUUUUUUACAACAAAACAAAUAUAAGGUAUAAAAUGAUAAUUUCCCUAACAUAAAUAAAGAAAUGAAACACUAUUUUCGCUUUUGCCACUUUCGUUUUCGGUUUCGAAUUAUCGUCGGAGUCUAGAAACUAGGUUGUGUAUUUAUUAUAUGUGCUCUGUUUUUAUUUGUUUAUCUUUUCUCUGUUCUGACACCUUAGAAAACUUAAUCAGAAAACGACAUGGCAAGGAGAAAAGAAAAUAUUAUACUAGGGUUAUUGAUAUUAAAUCAGAGCUAGAAUUAGCCUUAGGGUUCCUUCUUUUAAACCCUAAAAAUUGAAAACUCAAGUUUAUUAUUUAUCGUAAUAUAAUUAAAUUCCGACAAAGUUAAAUAAUGGGUUCAUUUGAUGGGUAAGUCGUGUAAAAUUUAUCAAUCGUUUUUCGCGUAAAAUUAAUAGUAGAAAUUUCCAAAUCUAAGCGAAUGUCAAAUUUGGUCCAACGCAUGAAAUAAAUUAAAACUCUGGAGAUGAUAACUUUCUAGAUAAUGUAAUUGAGCUUUUUAUAUAUGGAACUGCAAAUGUAAUUCCUCUGUCCCGCAUUUCGGUCCUUUUAUAGAAGGUUAGAUAUUAUAUUUUGAUGAACUAUUAUUUGAACUAAUUAAAUAAUGAUCGCUCCUUGCACAUAUCCACUGGGAUGCGUUUCAAGAGACAGAAUGAUAUCUGCUGUACCGUACAUCCGCCUUGGCCGUACAGCAGAUUAAUAAAAUAUAUUUAUUAUCUAUUAAAUUAUUAAUUAACGUUGAAAGAUAAUGACAUUAGAAGGGUAAUUUAAUAUUUUCACACGAUAUAAAAAAUAAUAAAAGAAUUUAAGAAUAUAAAAAUGAUAAUUUAAAAGUACGUAAGUGAUAAUAAGAUAAUUUAAGAGUAUAUAAAUAAUAAUUUUUUUAUUUUAAUUUAAAUUUCAAAAAUAAAAUAUCAAUUCGCUGUAUUAACUUUCAGAUGGUAACUAAUGAUUUAGUUAUUAGUAUAUAUAUUUUGUCAACUUAAAAUGAACGAUUAAUAUUAUUUUUUACAACAAAACAAAUAUAAGGUAUAAAAUGAUAAUUUCCCUAACAUAAAUAAAGAAAUGAAACACUAUUUUCGCUUUUGCCACUUUCGUUUUCGGUUUCGAAUUAUCGUCGGAGUCUAGAAACUAGGUUGUGUAUUUAUUAUAUGUGCUCUGUUUUUAUUUGUUUAUCUUUUCUCUGUUCUGACACCUUAGAAAACUUAAUCAGAAAACGACAUGGCAAGGAGAAAAGAAAAUAUUAUACUAGGGUUAUUGAUAUUAAAUCAGAGCUAGAAUUAGCCUUAGGGUUCCUUCUUUUAAACCCUAAAAAUUGAAAACUCAAGUUUAUUAUUUAUCGUAAUAUAAUUAAAUUCCGACAAAGUUAAAUAAUGGGUUCAUUUGAUGGGUAAGUCGUGUAAAAUUUAUCAAUCAUUUUUCGCGUAAAAUUAAUAGUAGAAAUUUCCAAAUCUAAGCGAAUGUCAAAUUUGGUCCAACGCAUGAAAUAAAUUAAAACUCUGGAGAUGAUAACUUUCUAGAUAAUGUAAUUGAUUGUCCAAGUGAUUGAGCUUUUUAUAUAUGGAACUGCAAAUGUAAUUCCUCUGUCCCGCAUUUCGGUCCUUUUAUAGAAGGUUAGAUAUUAUAUUUUGAUGAACUAUUAUUUGAACUAAUUAAAUAAUGAUAUAAUUUUUAUUAUUUUAAUCGAGAUAUAAAUUAAAUAUUCUAAUUAAGCAAAUAUAGUAUUAUUUUUAUGUUUUCAUUGGCUUGAUUCUUGACCAAAUCAUCUUUCAGUACGCAUCCCUCAGUUGAUUACUGACAUGGCAUUAACCCUUCCCUGGUUGAGACGCAAGUAACAGGUACCUACUGGCGAUCGAGGUCGGUUGAAUUAUUUGAUGCAGUACAUCAUAAAAUUUUUUUACUAAAUUUGGUAUAGAUUAUAUCACAUUAACAUAAUUUUUUUAAUAAAAAUUUACUAAUGGUAUAUAAUUAAUAAUUCUUAAUUGACAUUUCUCUCUCCUACUUGUUUGCUUAUCCUUCCACCAUUUUUAUUUUAUUUUUUUCAUUUAUCUCUUACUUUGUGUUUUGUUUCAGCUUCUCAUAAACUCUUUCACUCCCAAUCUAUAAACAAAUAUUUUCAUGCAUUUGUCAUAGAAUUCCAGUUAAAUCAUAUAUUUUUGGUCCAACAGUACUUAUCGGAAAAAAAAUUAUUUCAACAAAAAAUCAUUGAUUUUUAUUUAAGCCCACAUUAAUUGAUCCACAUUUCCACACACAAGUAAAAUUAUACAACCUCGCAUACAAAAUGCAGCUUUUAAAGUUCAGAAGUUUCACUAUGCUCUGAUUUUACAAUCAUAAAGAUUGCAAAUAAUAUUUUUUUUUUAAUCAAAAAGGCAUAAAUGACAAAGCUUUUAUUAUAAUGAUCGGCCGAUGAAUCGCAUGUGCCAGAAGAGCCGAAGACAAACCCAGUAAAGCAGAAAAAACAAAAAAGUAUUAACUCAUAGGACAAGUUUAAUUAAUAAAAAUUAAUUAUAUUGAGUAAGAAAUAAGGAUCACUUAAAUUUUAUUUCUUCUUGUGUUUGGGGUAAAAGGAUUAUAUAUAGCUUUACUGAUGUAAUCAUCAUCAGGUAUGUGUAAUUUAUGAAGCUGCGUCCAUAACCGGAUCCACCAAGAAGUCACAUUUAAAUCGAACAGCUGUUUUUGUAUUCAAUCGAGAGAUUAUACAUUAGGCUUAGGGUUGCAGCACCUCAAUGGCGAGCUGAAAAUAAUAAAUUGUUGUUGACUUAGAAAUAUAAAAUGAAUUAGAAUGAUCGAGAUAAUCGGAUAUAACAGAUCAUAUUAUAAUAAAUACGAUCUGAUCCGAUGUAAUGGAGUUCGAUAAUAUCAAUACCGAUUGUGCGUAUAAGCCAAUAGCAGUUCUUGAUUUCUUGUAUUGUAUGAUUGUGUUGUAUCCAUUCGAUUCAAGCAUAAAAUAUAAAAAAUGAGACGGGUAUGAGUUGAGCAGUGCUGCAAAAGAAAAGAUGAUCGCCCACUCAGCCGCUUGGCAGUUUGCAUGCAGUCCAUGAGCAGCCAUUUUUCAUUCAGCUGCUCACCGUCCUUGGUCCUUAUUCCUAAUAUUUAUUACCCUAUCAACUAACUCUCUUGUAAUUUUUUUUUUUUUUUACAACAUCAAUGAUAUAAGUAACAUGUACUGUUGAAUCUAAUCAGCUGUACAAAUUAUUUCUAUUAAUAAUUUUUUUAAAAUAAUAGAACUAGUUAACAAUCGGUUCAAAAUGUGAUUUGAAAUUUAAAAAAAAAAGUAAAAAGAGAUAUGAUAAAAAUAAUAAUAUCUCGGGUUCUUUUAUUUAAAAUUAAACAAGUAUUACUUAUUUUAUAGCAUUUUGAUGUCGAAACAUAUGAACCGCUUUGAUUAUUUUAAUUGAUUUGAUAGUUAAUCCUUGUGACUUUGAGUCCUAUUAUCAAAUUGGGUUACUUUAAAAAAAAAAUGAAAGAGAAAGUGGUUGUGCAAGGGUUUAUCAAUGAUUAUUUUUUAGGUACUUAAACUUAUAUCUAAGGCUGAACCUUAUCUAAACUACUUGCUUUUGGUCGCCCGAGCACAGCCUGCCAACAAUUAUGGCGGUUGAAUUUGAAUGGAAGACUAGUAUUCUUUCCAAGCAGUGGACCUAAGAAAGGGCGAAGCAAGUGACUUUUACAAUUACUUUGCUUCUUCUGUUCAUUAAAAUACACUUUGCAUUUGACGUGUGGUUAUUUCAAGAUGAUUUGGUACCAAAACUUAUUUUUAAGUUAUGCCAAUUAAAUUCAAAAUAGCAAUAUUUAAUUGUUUUCAUUAUACCCCGGAAAUUCUUCUUUUGUUAAAUUAAAAUUAUGCAUAAUUUGAUUCUAUAAGAAUGUAGCCCGUAUAAUGGUCGACUUUUACCUAUCUAAUUCUUUGAAAUAUUUUAUAUUUGUAUGAAUAAUAUGAUCUUCCAGGGACUUUUAGUCGCUCAUGUGCUUUAUUUUGUUAUCCCUCGUAUAUUCUUUGGUUUCAUGAUUGUUGAUUUCAUGUAGAAGAUUUAUUUAUAUUUGUACAGGAAAGAUAGUUUUACUUUUCAAAUUAUCACAGGAGACUCUCUGCUUGUUAUUGACUUAUUAUUUCAUCAAUUGUGCUAGAUGAAGGAAAUGGAGUUCAAGAAGUUGUUCGAUACACAAAAUAUUGCUGCCUUGCUGCCUUUCGUAUUAAGAGGAAUCCGAUUCAGUGUGUUCUCCUUCCUCACUGCUCGUUGCCAGCUCUUGAAGUGCACCCAACAUUUACCGUACGAAAAGCGGUCUGCUGUACCGUACAUCCGCCUUGGCCGUACAGCAGAAUAAAAAUGAAAAUGAAAAUGGUGUUUUGCAAUUGCUGUAUUUCGAAUUUCAAUAUGUGUCUAGUAUCAUUUUCUGUAUCCUGUAUUUUAAAACUAAAAACUAAAAACAGUAAUAUGCGUUUGGUAGACACAGUUGAAAAUUAGGGGUGGGCAAUAGUCGGUUCGGCCGAGCCGAGCCGAACCGAACCAAAACCAAUCGGUUCUUUAGAAGAUGAACCGAAUAGGGACCGAAUUUAGGAACCGAACCGAACCGAACCGAAAUAUUUCGGUUCGGUUCGGUUCGGUUCCUAAAUUCGGUCCCUAUUCGGUUCAUCUUCUAAAGAACCGAUUGGUUUUGGUUCGGUUCGGCUCGGCUCGGCCGAACCGACUAUUGCCCACCCCUAAUUUUCAACUGUGUCUACCAAACGCAACUACGCACAGGAUCCUUCAACAACGUUCUUCCAAAGAUUGGUGUAGGUAACAAGUUCUGUGCUGCCACCCAACUUCGAAAAACUUCCCACACACACAUUCCCCCACACACACCCACACCCACACCUAGUAGCCCUGCUGUACGGCCAAGGCGGAUGUACGGUACAGCAGAUGACACACACACACACACACACAUAUAUAUAAAUCGGUCUCAAGUUAGUCUUGACUGUAAAAUCCAUUUUGUGGCGAAGUGCAAAGUAUGACAAGAGAUGACAAGGCAAAAGCAGCCAGCCAAUAUAACAAGAUAAUAAAUAAUAGUAUCACCACCAAUCUAGCGAGUUCACUUCGUUUAUCCUUAAUGAAGUCAAGCAUGACAAUGCCAAAAGAUAGUCAAUCAUAAUUAAAAUUCAAAACAAGUGAAAAAAAAUCAUCAUAAAACCUUGAAAAUCAUUGUAGACAAGGUUCCAUUAUCCAUAGCAACAAAAGUCAUGGCAACUAAUUAUAACCACUGAUCUCCAAAGGGCACCAUACACUAUCAUAAUUGAAGUAUUCUGCUGCUUGACUUACAACAUCAAGAACAUCAGGUCAAAAAGGGCCAGAAUCCUUUCAGCUUGUUAGUCUGCUACUGUCAUGAUGCAAACCACUCACUGGCAGGCAUCUGUUUUUAGAAAAAAAAAGACUUCGACCUGUAAUCAUCAAAUCGUAAUUUAGCAAUCAGCAAUUCAAAUCCGCUACAGGGUUGAGCAACCUUUUGCAAAUCAAAAAGUUUGCACUAAUUCACAUAAUACAACUAAUACUAAAAUGAAUCUAAAACUCAGAUCAGGAAGUGGUCAAAGCCAUUAAAGGAAUGGUCAGAGUGUAACAAGCUACCAGGUGUUAACAAUGGAGGGAAGUGGUACAGUGUGCUUGAAUAUGCAAAAACAAUCAGAGUCUACCAACUGCAAUGAACUGGAUGCAGUAGGAAAUGCAUUAGUUGCCACCGUUAAGAAGAUAACCGUUGCCCACAGACAACAACAGUGUUGGAUACAUCCUAAGAAGAAACAGGGUACCUUCACUUUAUCUCUUUUAAGAAGAUUAAACAGUUCAAUAUGGAGGUAUAACAGAAACAGUGGACUACACUGAAGAAGAUAUUCGAUUGAAAAUUAAGGAGUUGAUUAAAUCUUUAAGAUACUGAGACAGCAUAGUUUUUUAUGAAUGGAAACAAAAUAGUAGCCAUGUUGCAAGUUACAAAUUCAGCCUGGAAGCAGAAUUUUUUUUUGCGACAAGGAUGGCAUGAAGAUGACCGGCGUCGCACGAGCUUUCAAUCGGUACCAACCUUGGUCGGAGGAGUGGCCGGAAACGGAGACAAAAUCCGAGUUGGGUUCGUGGGUAUUGUGAUAAAGAGAGGGGUAUUGUGAUGUAUGUGCAAUAUAGAAUAAAAAUGUGUAAAUAGUAAAUAGUUUAAGGUGCUAAGUAAAAUGUUCAUAUGGAUGCAGUAGAAAUUAACUUAAUAUUUAUAAAGUAAAGAUUAAAUAAAAUUGAGUAAAAUGGGUUCUAUAAAAAUUUACAAUUGUGCUGACAAAAAGACAAAAAUAGUGGUACGGUACCACUGUGGUACCGUAGCUUGAUCCUCCUUAAAGUUUGAAUUAAUGAUAGAAUUACACAAAUAUUUUACUUUAGUGGGCUUAUUGAUGACAUGCGUAUCAUUUUUGUCAAUUUAUAGUUGUAAAUUUAUAUUUUUAAAAUGUAUUUUAAUCAUCAUUCCUACUUACCUCACAAAGUUGCUUUGUUUUCCCAAAAAAAGAAAAAGAAAAAAACCGUUUGAAAUAUUUUUUACGUGAUGCAUAAUUAUUGUGAGAAAAUAUAUACGAUGUUUGGGUGUUGUUUUACCAAUUUUCUAUCUAAAUAUGCAUAUGAAUAAACAUGUGAUUGACUUGUAAAAAUAAUGUGGUACUUUAAAUGUACAAAAUCGAUUAUGGAAUGCAAUUUAAUAUGCUCUAUAUUACUUUGAAGUUGGACACCGCGGUUAACUAACUACAAUAUGCACUAAAAAGGUGCUAUUGAAAUGAAUAUGUGAUUUUAAUCAUUUUAAAAUCUGAAAUUUGUGAUCUAAAACAUUUCGGGCAGAUGUUUAAUCGCAGCAGUUAUCUUUCACAAAUUAAAAAUUUUUACAUCAAAUUUUUUAGAGUAAUGAUACAGCCACAAACUCUUGUACAAACUUAUUUUGUACAAACUGACGUGGCAUGAUAAGAUUGGUUGAAUGAAAAUAUAAAUUAAUAAAAACAAAUCAUGUGGGCCAAGUGAUAUUUAAUUCAACCAAUCUUAUCAUGCCACAUCAGUUUGUACAAAAUAAAUUUGUACAAGAGUUUGUGGCUGUAUCAUUACUCAAUUUUUUAUUUUAUUUUAAGUGGUCGUCAAUUUAUCUUCCAUUCCUAGUUUUUUUUUUAAAUACCGAUAAUACACCAGAUUAUUGAAUUACAUUAGAUAUUUACAAUUGUUAUUACAAUAGAUAAUUAUAUUGAUAUUUAUAAUCAGACAUAUAAUUGGAGGUAUUAAAGUACCUUGUCCAGAUAAAUAACCCUCACAAACGAAGAAUAUUUCUACUCCAUUCUUAUUUCAUAAGGAAAAGAACUUACAAAUAAAUCUACACAAUUAUACAUAAUUCUUAAUUCUCAUUACCCUCAUUAUCUGUGAGGGUAAUGAGGGUAAAAGUUCACCGGUCCAGUGCUAUGCUAGUUAAGUGAUUGUGAUCUAACCAUUCGGGAAAUCUCAAUAGACCUUGUAUUUCGGUCGUUUUACAUUUUCCAUGACCAAUGGGCCAGCGCCACAAAAUAAAUUAAGAUUUAAAAUAACUAACAUAAAUGAUUAUUUAAUUUAAUAAUACUAGGGGAAAAAAAAGAGAGUAAACAAAUUCCAAGGACUUGACUUUUCUUUUUGAACAGUAUGCCAGGAAAAAAGUAACAAUUGCUAUGUCUCUCAUGUUUGCCACAAGGCAGACCACUCAAUUAGUUUCAUUACUUCCCUUUUUCUUGGUUUUGAUUAAAUAUAUAUAUAAUUACCAUUUAAUUUUAGAUCCGCCGUAAAAUUUUAUAACAUGGGUACAUUUAUGAUGACAAAAACAUUAAAAAAGAGGAAAAAAAACAUGAUCCAUAGCAUAUGCAUUUAUAAAUAUAAUUCAUAUUCAAACAAUGAGCCUCAUAAUUUAUUUGUUGCUAAUUAAACUAGCGGGAUACUAUAAUUUAUUAAUGCCAACGAAGCGACACAGUACAAAUAGACUUGCACUUGUGAGCUCCGUAGCUGAUGAUUGUCUUGGGUGCUUUGAUCCUGAAGUAGCCGUUCUUGUCCGUUUUGCCAACCACAUUGAGUGGAUACUUGGUGUUGUUGCACUGCAAUUUCAGAGUCGCCCCUGCAAUUGAACCCAUGGACAAUAUUAAAAGAAUAAAAAAAAAUUUAAAUACUAGGGACUUCAAAAAGAGAGCUUGAAAAAGGAAAAAGUAGCUAGCUAUGCUGCCAUAACCAUGCCUCCUACUGAAUGUGACAUAAACCUAGAACAAAGAGAAAGAAAGAGAUCAAGAGCACCUCUCUCUCUCUCCAUUCAAAAUCUGGAAAUGUAUACAUCACGCAUCCAUGAAAACAAAUGCACAUUCGCAUCCAUACGUAUGUUAUGUAUGCAUGAUAUCUAACUAAACAUACAUGUGAAAUUAAUUGAAGUAAUAAUGAUAGAAAAAAAUCAAGUAUGUAAGAGUUUGGAGCAGGGAAAAUUAAGUUGAAAGAUUUCGAAACUGACCUAGAACAGCGGUAGCUCCUAGGAGGGUAUCAGCUCCUGCGUACUUGCAAGACUUGCAAUAAACGACGCCUUGAACUUCAACAAGGCUCCUAGGGAAACGAUGGGUGGGUGUGGGUGGGUGAGCAGGAGCAACGUGUGGUGGAGGUGGGUGAGCAGGAGCAACGUGCGGUGGAGGUGGGUGAGCAGGAGCAACGUGUGAAGGUGGGUGAGCAGGUGCAUGAGCGGGAGUGUGAGCCGGUGCAUGAGCCGGCGGGUGGGGGUGGUGGUGAUGAUGGUGGUGGCUUGGGGCGUGAGCCGGUGGGGCAGUAGGAGGGUGGCUGUGGUGGUGGUG
This 12236-nucleotide long non-coding RNA is filed under the name Citrus sinensis (sweet orange). RNAcentral describes it as "long non-coding RNA (CSIN_LNC000545)". The record is from RNAcentral. Lineage: Eukaryota; Viridiplantae; Streptophyta; Magnoliopsida; Sapindales; Rutaceae.